Long non-coding RNA from Ictalurus punctatus (channel catfish), 2885 nucleotides. RefSeq lists it as uncharacterized. NCBI's taxonomy places the organism in Eukaryota, Metazoa, Chordata, Actinopteri, Siluriformes, Ictaluridae. The transcript has 3 exons. The record is from RefSeq and is a predicted model, not a curated record.
AAAAAGCCUUUGUAGACUUCGUUUGGGGUGGUCAUCAUUGGCUUCCCCUGGGGGUACUGUGUCUGCCUACAAUCGAUGGCGGUCAGGGAUUAAUUAAUUUAGCCUCUAAGGUGAAAUCUGAAAUUUCUAACUUUGUUUUAGCUGGGACAACUAAAGUUGGAAACCUAUUUGACUUGUCGAAUAGAGAGUGUUUUUCAGUACAGAAUCUAACUAGAAAGAUUACUGGUAGAUCAGAGAGAAUAGUCGGGAACAUAUUAAAGGAUUUGAAAACAUCUUUUCCUACAUCUUUGUGGGAUUAUAUAACCGAGUUUAAGUCCGGCGGUAACACAAAGGUCUUUUUUCCAGAAGUGUACUUAACUCCAGAGGUAGCUCAAAUUAACAAUGGAGACAAUGUAAACAUUUUGUUAUCUUUUAAAGGCUUGCAAAGUCUUCCGUUUUCCAUGGUGAACAAACAAAAUGCAUAUAUUUCCUGUGUAAAGUCCGACUUUGUCAGACAUCUAAGGGGGAGGAGGCAUACAGAAUGGAGGACUCAUUUCUUGACGUCGGGAGAUAAUGAACCUUCAUGGCAGUUAUUGUAUAAAAACCCUCUACCAAAAAGGUCUGGUGACUUACAGUGGCGGAUUUUACAUUGUGCAUUACCAACAAAAGUGUUUUUGUUUAAAUGUAAAUAUGCAUCGUCUCCACUGUGUACUUUGUGUGAUGAACUGGAUACUGUGUUUCAUGUCUUUUGUGAAUGUUGUAAAUUAUCUCCGCUCUUAAAUCUAUUGGAUACAAUGUUUCAUAGUUUGGCGAUCAUUUUCUCGAAAACAGGGUUUAUUUAUGGGGGUAGAUAUUCUUGCCACAGGCAGGAAAUCUGUACCUAUUCAAAUUUUUUGGUCGGUCAAGCAAAAUUAGCCAUUUGGAAGGCUUACAAAAUGGGAUUGGAAGGGAAAGAAGUAAACAUGGUUAAAUUAUUUAAGGCCUUGGUUGAGUCUAGGAUUAGAUUAAAGUAUGAAUUUUACCAAAUGAAUGGUGAUCUUCCGAUGUUUGAGAAGAAAUGGUGUGUAAACAAAGGGGUGACUUAUAAGAGGCGAGAAUCUCUUUUUCAAUUGGUAAUGGUCGUUAAAACAAUGUGUUCUGUAUGUUAAGGUUUUUUAAAUUGUAAAAUAAAUUAUAUUUUAAAAGUCAAAGUCUCUCUCUUUCUUCUCUCUCUCCCCACAGAUGUGUCGUUAUCUCUAGCAUCCCUGCUGGUGCCUCUACAAAUUACACCUGCAACAUGAGGGGUCGUCAUGUGAACAUCAUCAUUCCCAAUGUUAUCCAGGCUCUCACGCUCUGUGAAGUGGAAGUCUAUGGGGUUCCAGAUGAUAUCUGCCAAUGUCCAGCCUUCAGUGCGUCAGAUCUGUUGGACUAAGGAACCAGAGGUGGAAAAUUAAACUUAAAAAACGGUGGCAGAAAUAUAUCUGAAACAAGAAGAAGAAGAAGCGGAAGAAGAAGAAGUGUUCAAAGAACAAAAAGAAAAAAAACAUCAAAUGUGUGAGGUUUGGGUGUAGCACUUAAAUACUAGCUAACUGAUGUUAUAGGUUUAUUAAUUAGAAGUACUAGAAAUUUUUCAGUUUGCUUGUUUGGGAAAUGUAGCUAUGAAAAAUUAUUACCACAGGGUUUGUACAAGGUGCUUGAAUUUGGCAUUUGGAAAUUUAAGUACUGGAAAACCUUGAAAAUAGCCAUUUUUUAUGUAACAGUGGUUAAAAAGUGCUUGAAUGAUAAAAAGUCAAUAAAUAAAAAAUAACAAUUUUCAAAAGAACACGAAUACAAUCCUUUCACUCAAAAUAUGACUCCCCGCUGCAGCCCCUCCUCCUCCUGCCGUUCACUCAUUCAUUUUAACAGGGACAGCUUCGGUCCACUUCUCAGACCCCUUUAGCAACUUUUUUUUUUUUUUUUUUUAAAGCAUCUAGCAAUAUAUCUAUCGAUUUUUUGGACAAACCUUAGCUACUUUCUGUAGAAGAUAAUGGCCAGUACUGCCCGGCGAGUGCGAGGUCCUGCUUUCAGAAACAGAAAAAAUAUGUAAAUGAGAACAGCUUUAUUGGGAAUUCGGCUGUAUUAAAAUUCAGCAUGUGAGCACAGAGAGUAGGAUGUAAUAAAGGGCUGACACUAGGCAGAGUGAAAAUACGAUGUAAUGGUGAAAUUAUGGUGAAAAUGAAGCAAUGACUGGGAAAUACAAAUUUAGUCCAUCAUGGCUGGGAAAAGGAGCUAUAUAAAAAUGGUUGUUUUAAAAAAAAUUAUUAUUAUUAAGAUUUUUUUUGGAAAUGAAGGAUAUGUUUCAAUGACAUCUCUUGUAUAGUCCUUGAAAACAAAACAAAACAAAACAGUGCUUGAAAAGUCCUUGAAAAUCCUGGAAUUUCAUUAUGAAGCAUCUGUACAGACCCUGUUAUAUGUACUAUGUGAUUGAUGUAUUAAACAUGCCUCUUGAUUUCUGGGUUUAGCAUAGUUAUACCUCGGUUUGAGUUUAAAACAAUAGCUAUAUUUUCUGGUAGAAUAAUGCUAGUUAAGUUUCUCUCCCAAAUAUUAUUGAGUAGAUAAAGUAUAUUCAGUAGCUUUUCUGGGAUAGUGAGAAUUUAGGUUAAUAUAGUAGAAAACAAAACACUCAGAUUAUCCUGGUUGUAAGAACUGCUCAUUCAUCAGUACACCUUUACAGUUUUCACUGCAGAUAUAUCAUCAGCUUUAUUGAACAAUACUCAGAAUCCUUGUCACCUCCCAGCCAAUCAGUCAUGAUGAAUUUUUGUAUGGUUGGAAGCAUGUUUAAAACACAGAAAGUGCCGAGAUCAUGUAAGAAUGAGGUUUUACUCACUGGCAUAUAUGUGUUCACUUUAAACUUUGUUCCUUCCCUUAAACACUUACCUGCUUGAGAA